Molecule: ribosomal RNA, 492 nt
Filed under: uncultured bacterium
Lineage: Bacteria
Description: partial 16S ribosomal RNA
Rfam family: Bacterial small subunit ribosomal RNA
Source: RNAcentral
AGUGAACGCUGGCGGUAGGCCUAACACAUGCAAGUCGAACGGCAGCACAGUAAGAGCUUGCUCUUACGGGUGGCGAGUGGCGGACGGGUGAGGAAUACAUCGGAAUCUACUUUUUCGUGGGGGAUAACGUAGGGAAACUUACGCUAAUACCGCAUACGACCUACGGGUGAAAGCAGUGGAUCUUCGGACCUUGCGCGAUUGAAUGAGCCGAUGUCGUAUUAGCUAGUUGGCGGGGUAAAGGCCCACCAAGGCGACGAUGCGUAGCUGGCCUGAGAGGAUGAUCAGCCACACUGGAACUGAGACACGGUCCAGACUCCUACGGGAGGCAGCAGUGGGGAAUAUUGGACAAUGGGCGCAAGCCUGAUCCAGCCAUACCGCGUGGGUGAAGAAGGCCUUCGGGUUGUAAAGCCCUUUUGUUGGGAAAGAAAAGCAGCAGGUUAAUACCCCGCUGUUCUGACGGUACCCAAAGAAUAAGCACCGGCUAACUUCGUG